Molecule: ribosomal RNA, 253 nt
Filed under: uncultured bacterium
Lineage: Bacteria
Description: partial 16S ribosomal RNA
Rfam family: Bacterial small subunit ribosomal RNA
Source: RNAcentral
UACGUAGGGUGCAAGCGUUAAUCGGAAUUACUGGGCGUAAAGCGUGCGCAGGCGGCUUUGCAAGACAGAUGUGAAAUCCCCGGGCUUAACCUGGGAACUGCAUUUGUGACUGCAUGGCUGGAGUGCGGCAGAGGGGGAUGGAAUUCCGCGUGUAGCAGUGAAAUGCGUAGAUAUGCGGAGGAACACCGAUGGCGAAGGCAGCCCCCUGGGCCAAUACUGACGCUCAUGCACGAAAGCGUGGGGAGCAAACAGG